GUGCUUGUCUUGGCAGCACACAUACUAAAAUUGGAACGAUACAGGAAAGCCUAGCAUGGUCCCCGUGCGAGGGUAAAACUUGGUUUUUAGGAAUAUUAAGCAGAAUU
Ochotona princeps (American pika) is the source of this 107-nucleotide small nuclear RNA. The record is from Ensembl. Lineage: Eukaryota; Metazoa; Chordata; Mammalia; Lagomorpha; Ochotonidae.